This 24-nucleotide ribosomal RNA is filed under the name Rhizopus arrhizus. Its description in RNAcentral is "Rhizopus oryzae partial 28S ribosomal RNA". Lineage: Eukaryota; Fungi; Mucoromycota; Mucoromycetes; Mucorales; Rhizopodaceae. The record is from RNAcentral.
UAAAGCAUAUCAAUAAGCGGAGGA